AGAUGACCUUGGUUUGUCAUGAUGCGUAUUGUAUGUCAUAGGUCUUUAUGUAGCAUUAGCCCUCGUUCUAUAUUCUUUUCUCCUAACUACCUGUUGCGGAGAGUUAUGAUGCUCUCUAGGUCUAUUUAGUGUCCUUACUUUGUUGUCUCUCUGGGGUUUCUUAGGAGUGAAUCUAAAGUUAUUACUGUUAAUUCGUUUCCUAAUCGGGAAGUCUCUAUUGGGUCUUGUCUGGGUGUAUGGAGUCUUAUUGUACGUCCCUCUUUCAGUAUAUCUAAAAUGGUUUGUACCGUUUGGAUUUUUAUAUUUUGAAUAUGUCCUUACUCUAUUUUGUGCAUAGUUGUUUUUAU
Molecule: non-coding RNA, 347 nt
Organism: Pelobates cultripes (western spadefoot toad)
Lineage: Eukaryota; Metazoa; Chordata; Amphibia; Anura; Pelobatidae
Source: the annotation of a GenBank genome assembly